GCAGGCGCGCAAAUUACCCACUCCCAGCACGGGGAGGUAGUGACGAAAAAUAACGAUACGGGACUCAUCCGAGGCCCCGUAAUCGGAAUGAGUACAUUGUAAAAACAUCCCCAAAGAUCAAUUGGAGGGUAAGUCUGGUGCCAGCAGCCGCGGUAAUUCCAGCUCCAAUAGCGUAUAUUAAAGUUGUUGCGGUUAAAAAGCUCGUAGUCGAAUCUGUGUCCCGCGCCGCUGGUUCAUCGCUCGCGGUGUUCAACUGGCGUGUCUCGCGGGACGUCCUGCCGGUGGGCUCGCGUAUCGCUUGCGGUGCGUGGCCCAACUCGUUUCCGUCUCGCGCGGUUAUGAAUCCCAUCGCGGUGCUCUUUAUUGAGUGUCGAGGUGGGCCGGCACGUUUACUUUGAACAAAUUAGAGUGCUUAAAGCAGGCCAAUUUUGCCUGAAUAUUGUGUGCAUGGAAUAAUGAAAUAGGACCUCGGUUCUAUUUUGUUGGUUUUCGGAACCCCGAGGUAAUGAUUAAUAGGAACGGAUGGGGGCAUUCGUAUUGCGACGUUAGAGGUGAAAUUCUUGGAUCGUCGCAAGACGGACAGAAGCGAAAGCAUUUGCCAAAAACGUUUUCAUUGAUCAAGAACGAAAGUUAGAGGUUCGAAGGCGAUCAGAUACCGCCCUAGUUCUAACCAUAAACGAUGCCAGCUAGCGAUCCGCCGACGUUCCUCCGAUGACUCGGCGGGCAGCUUCCGGGAAACCAAAGCUUUUGGGUUCCGGGGGAAGUAUGGUUGCAAAGCUGAAACUUAAAGGAAUUGACGGAAGGGCACCACCAGGAGUGGAGCCUGCGGCUUAAUUUGACUCAACACGGGACACCUCACCAGGCCCGGACACCGGAAGGAUUGACAGAUUGAUAGCUCUUUCUUGAUUCGGUGGGUGGUGGUGCA
This 925-nucleotide ribosomal RNA is filed under the name Liogluta microptera. RNAcentral describes it as "SSU rRNA". It matches the Rfam family "Eukaryotic small subunit ribosomal RNA", at positions 428 to 1284 of the family's 1831-position model. The record is from RNAcentral. Lineage: Eukaryota; Metazoa; Arthropoda; Insecta; Coleoptera; Staphylinidae.